Molecule: long non-coding RNA, 274 nt
Filed under: Panax ginseng (ginseng)
Lineage: Eukaryota; Viridiplantae; Streptophyta; Magnoliopsida; Apiales; Araliaceae
Description: long non-coding RNA (PGIN_LNC010810)
Source: RNAcentral
CAUGAUCGGUCAAUGCAUUUUGACCAUCAAUAACUUUUGAUCCACAAUAGAUACGGACCUUAUUCUUUUUGAAGCUUAAAAACAACAUAUCAGGCUACACAUAACAACUUUUAAACAACAAAACUCAUGAUUGAGCAAAGAGUUAUGGCCUCUGAUAUUUGGUGAAAAAUAACAGAAUUCGGUUUUUUCCAACUUGCUUAAAUCUUCAAAUUCGUGCACUUUGAUGUUAUGGAUUCAUGAUUUAUCAACCCAGAUCAUCAAUUGACACCCUAUU